UACAGAGGGGGCAAGCGUUGUUCGGAAUUACUGGGCGUAAAGGGCGCGUAGGCGGCCUGUUAAGUCAGACGUGAAAUCCCUCGGCUCAACCGGGGAACUGCGUCUGAUACUGGCGGGCUUGAAUUCGGGAGAGGGAUGUGGAAUUCCAGGUGUAGCGGUGAAAUGCGCAGAUAUCAGGAGGAACACCGGUGGCGAAGGCGGGUCUCUGGGCCGAUACUGACGCUGAGGAGCGAAAGCGUGGGGAGCGAACAGG
This 253-nucleotide ribosomal RNA is filed under the name uncultured bacterium. Its description in RNAcentral is "partial 16S ribosomal RNA". It matches the Rfam family "Bacterial small subunit ribosomal RNA", at positions 524 to 776 of the family's 1533-position model. The record is from RNAcentral.